Molecule: long non-coding RNA, 210 nt
Filed under: Capsicum annuum
Lineage: Eukaryota; Viridiplantae; Streptophyta; Magnoliopsida; Solanales; Solanaceae
Description: long non-coding RNA (CANN_LNC017142)
Source: RNAcentral
UUAGGUGGGGAGGGUGAAAAUUAGGUGUCAACAAUAAUAGUUGCGGAAUUAAAAUGAAUAUCUGAAACAAACCCCUAGAAUAUGAGUCAUUAUACCAAAACCACUACAAAUUAAAUGUCAAUAAAAGGGUUCAAACCUAAAACAACUGAAAAUAUAUGAAGUUUGAAACAAUGGACCAGAAACAAAGGAGAUGACUCAUGGUUGCCCGGA